AUUGAACGCUGGCGGCAUGCUUUACACAUGCAAGUCGGGCGGCAGCGCGGGGGCAACCCUGGCGGCGAGCGGCGAACGGGUGAGUAACACAUCGGAACGUGCCCAAUCGUGGGGGAUAACGUAGCGAAAGCUACGCUAAUACCGCAUACGAUCUACGGAUGAAAGCGGGGGAUCGCAAGACCUCGCGCGAAUGGAGCGGCCGAUGGCAGAUUAGGUAGUUGGUGGGGUAAAGGCUCACCAAGCCGACGAUCUGUAGCUGGUCUGAGAGGACGACCAGCCACACUGGGACUGAGACACGGCCCAGACUCCUACGGGAGGCAGCAGUGGGGAAUUUUGGACAAUGGGCGCAAGCCUGAUCCAGCCAUUCCGCGUGCAGGAUGAAGGCCU
This 387-nucleotide ribosomal RNA is filed under the name uncultured bacterium. RNAcentral describes it as "bacterial SSU rRNA". It matches the Rfam family "Bacterial small subunit ribosomal RNA", at positions 29 to 417 of the family's 1533-position model. The record is from RNAcentral.